RNAcentral lists this long non-coding RNA (515 nucleotides) under Nicotiana benthamiana. RNAcentral describes it as "long non-coding RNA (NBEN_LNC041245)". Lineage: Eukaryota; Viridiplantae; Streptophyta; Magnoliopsida; Solanales; Solanaceae. The record is from RNAcentral.
AAUAGUCUCUGACAACCAUGACAUCGAACAAGUGAUUUGUCUACUCUGGCAUCCAAACAAACAGAACAUGCAUCCUUGGGAAGAGUCCGGUCAUUCAUGUCCUCGCUUCUCAACUCCUUCACAAUCCAGAAUUUCUCCUCCCUGCAGUGGACUGCAUCCUGUUUCAGCCUAGCAGCAAUUGUGCCGAGAAGGUCAAUGGCCAUUGAACGAACAGAAACAUCUUUAGAUUUCAACGCAGUGGACUGCAUCCUGUUUCAGCCUUGCAGCAAUUGUGCCGAGAAGGUCAAUGGCCAUUGAACGAACAGAAACAUCUUUAGAUUUCAACCCAGCAUUUUGAAGAAGCAAAACACAAAGAACCUGCAAAUAAGUGUAUCUUUAACAUAUAGCUAAUGAAGUGUAUUAUGUUAGAAAUAUAACCGUGUCUCUAAUACCUCCAGAAGAGGAGCAGAGGCAGGAUAUUCAGGCAAAUUCAAAGUAAUCAACAGAUCAAUGACAAGAUUCUCAAUCAUUGUCUU